AGUGAACGCUGGCGGUAGGCCUAACACAUGCAAGUCGAACGGCAGCACAGUAAGAGCUUGCUCUUACGGGUGGCGAGUGGCGGACGGGUGAGGAAUACAUCGGAAUCUACUUUUUCGUGGGGGAUAACGUAGGGAAACUUACGCUAAUACCGCAUACGACCUACGGGUGAAAGCAGGGGAUCUUCGGACCUUGCGCGAUUGAAUGAGCCGAUGUCGGAUUAGCUAGUUGGCGGGGUAAAGGCCCACCAAGGCGACGCUCCGUAGCUGGUCUGAGAGGAUGAUCAGCCACACUGGAACUGAGACACGGUCCAGACUCCUACGGGGGGCAGCAGUGGGGAAUAUUGGACAAUGGGCGCAAGCCUGAUCCAGCCAUACCGCGUGGGUGAAGAAGGCCUUCGGGUUGUAAAGCCCUUUUGUUGGGAAAGAAAAGCAGCAGGUUAAUACCCCGCUGUUCUGACGGUACCCAAAGAAUAAGCACCGGCUAACUUCGUG
Molecule: ribosomal RNA, 492 nt
Filed under: uncultured bacterium
Lineage: Bacteria
Description: partial 16S ribosomal RNA
Rfam family: Bacterial small subunit ribosomal RNA
Source: RNAcentral